GGAGCUCCAUCUGCCACUCCGCUGCUGCCUCGUGGCUUAUCAAUACCACACCAGCACAUUCCGUCAGCAUAUCUUGAAUCUUCUUCGCGUCAUCCAACAUUCCAACUAUUCCUUUUUCGAAUCCACGACGUUCUUCCUAGGGUUACUCUUCGAAGAGCUCUGUCCAUCAACUACUAUUCAUUCCUCCACCAGGUAACCACUAUUUUCCUUCGAUCAUCUCAAACCACCGGACGUUUCUCCAUUUUUUGUCCUCUUUGACCGAUCAAAACCCCGAAUCCUUUCCUUCCAUCGAUUAAAUCGGUGAAACCUCUCGUUUCACCGUUCAAAUAGUUUUCCUCCGAUUAUUUCGAACUUUCACCGAUUAAAUCCUCCUCUUCCACGAACCUUAGCCUUUUUCACCGGUCAAACCACACAAACCUAGGGUUUUGUUCUUCCGCUGCAUCUUUUGUCAGAUUUUGAGCUCGAUCCGCACCAGAUUUAUGGCUCUUCGCCAGAGUCGACUUCAUCAUGUGGUAAUCAGAGCAUAGGUUCUCUUCCUCGGCUUAGGCACGCUUCAAAGCUAAGUAUCUUGUUCUCUCUUAUUUGAGUUAUUCUUGUGUUGUUUAGUUUCUUGAGUUGUCAUGAAUUUCUCCAAUUGUUUGGUCUCGAUCUGUGUGUUGCGUUGUAAAUCUGUUUUGAGUGCUUGUUCUUCUCUGUUCAGUGUUGAUUCGAAUUUUUGUGUUAGGUUUCCAAGUUUGAUCAAUUUGUGCUUGAAUGUGAUGUGCUUUGAGUCAUUUUAUUGAGUCUUUCAUCAUUUUUAGUCGGUCCAAAAUUUUUGUUUGAGUCAUCUUUAUUUGAGCUUCGUGUCUGGUUUGUCAAAGUCAUGUUCAUUUGCUUAAACUGUUUUCAAAUCUGGUAAUAACCGUGUGUUGCAUCUGGAAAUCUGAGUGAAUAGACAUAUUCUGCACAAUCAAAUGAGCUAUGACCAUCUUUAUGAGGAGCUCAAGUGCAUGAUUAGUGUCAAUCAUUUCAGAAUCAUUGCAGAGUUGUGUUGGUUGAUUCUGUUUUUAGCAUAUGUCAAUCACUGUUCAGUGGAUAAUUGUGUGUCUGACUUGCUAUUCUGGAGAUGUAUCAAUGCUUACUUAAAAACUGAUCCAGAAUGAACACCAUAUGAGCAUGAAAUUGCCUUGGCAAUUGGCUUGGUGAUAGACUGGAAAUUCGGAACUCAUAAAAGCAGUUGGCCUAUCUGCACUUGACUUGCUUGAGACAUUUACUUUGUUUUUGUUCAUUUCAGUGGUAGAUCAUUGCUGGAAUUCUGUGUAUUCAAUCUUAGAGUCAUUGCAAACCAUUUUUUUGUCACUUUCUAAACUACAGAACUGGGUUGUUUCAAUGCUUGUUAAUCACUAUUUUGGCCCAAAAAAAGAAAUAAAGGCAUAAGAGUUGAGUUAGUCAGUCAAAAGAGACAAAUUCUGAAAAGAAUAAUGAGGAACUGAACACGUGAAUUUUGAGUAAAAGCCUAUGAAAUUGAGUAAACUGACCUUGAGUGAACAAAACAAGCAUCAUUAAACUUGCUUGAGUGGAUUCCAGUGAGCAAUUGUGUCCAUACUUGAAAUUGCUAAAAAUAGCUAUUGGACAAGAUCAAUUUUGCAUCUGAAACCUGUUUUCAACGAUCAGUUCUGCAAUUCUUUGUUAUAUUCUCUUUUAUUUGCUUUCUUAAUCUGUGUUAGAGCUAUUCAUAGGUUCUGUUUGAGUGCUCACGUUCUUUCAAGCUUUAUUUCUUGCUUGUCUUGAUUGUUAAAUCUGGUUUUGUCCAUCACAAGUGCAUAUUGUUCUGUUGUUCUUAAUUUGAAGCUUUUCUUUGCUUUCAUAAUCUGAUCUAGAGCCUCUUGAGUCGUCUGCUGUGCUGUUCUGUUAGUCUCCAUUAUCUGGUGCAUCCUUUUGUUUGUGGCUGUCAUUGUUUUGCUCUGUUCUAUUCUACUUGCAUUUGCCUUUUCCUAGCCAUUCUUUUUUUUGUUUGAGAAUCUGAUGUUAUUCUGGAAAUUGGAACAAAGGUAUUUGUGAAUGGUAGCCUCUUAGGUGGAAGUGAUCCACAGGAUUAUCUGGCAUUGACUGAAAUCUUUUCAAAACCUACCCUUGAGUGUGUAAACUGUUAGAGUGAAUCCUUGAGAGAUGUGAGAUUUGUGAGGCUGAUUUUGGCCUAAAUUCCUUGGACAAUUUGUAAGAGAGAAUCACUUUUGCUUAACUGUUGCUUAAUCAUCUGACUGUUCAUUGUGCAGGUUGCUUAAGCCUUUUAACGUUAGUUUUGAAUACAUAUAAUUGAAUUUGGUUUAAGGUCCAAUUGCGUGUACAUUUGUUGGAAUCUGGUGUGAAAUUUUGGUGUGCAGAGCUGAUUUGUGGGAGCUUUGAGCUAAAGGGAGUUUCUUUUAUCUCAAAUUGUUUCUUAUAUGCAUAAAUUGUUUUGUCUGUUCUGCAUAUCUUAGAGUUAGAAUUGUGCUAAUCAACUGGAUUUGUACAGACUUUGCUGUUUUGCUGUGACAAGCUGUCUUUGCUGUGUUUGUUUUGGAUUGGAUCAUAUCGCAGCAACAACACCACUCAUGUAGCUUGAAGUUGAGCUACCCAGUUUGGGAGUCAGUUCGCGGAGGAGUUUACUAAGAAAACAGCAGCUUCGGCAUUUCAUAUUGGAGUUUGAACUGAAGGGAGUCUUUAGUUUCAUUACCUCUGUUUUCUUUAAGUUGAAUUGUUCCUGUUAUUGUUUGGUUUUGAUUAGCAACUGGAGAAGUGUUGACUUAGUGUUGAAUUCUUUGUCCAGCAGAUCUCAAUUUGGAGGCAAAGGAAAUUCUUUCAGCUACAUCAAUUGCCGAGAUCAAGAGAAAAGAUUGGACUGGCCAGCAGAUUGAUUCCAUAAAAUUGAUUUUAGGAAACCCCAAAGUUGUCCAGCAACAACAGUUUUUCGUGGAAAGAAAACGAAAUUCCUAGUUGCAUCAAGUGUACAAGCUCAUUAAGACAGGGAAGUUCUUACUGCCUUAUAUCUUCUUUGGUACCAUCUAUUUUAAACAAGAGAAUAUUAAAUUGUGCAUGUGUAUUGGUUGUAUUGGUAGGAUUGGACUAGUUAGGAGACUCCAGAUCAUUGAUGAUGUAGAAGUAAGCAAGAGCAUACCGAAGCUGUCCAGAAACUGUCAAGAAGCAACCAAACGUGGCACGAGAGUGUGGGUACAAAAAGAUUUGGACCGUAGCUGAGGAGCAGUAGAAUAGUUUCAAUUUUUUUGUUUUGUUUGUAUUUCUAUUGGGCUUGUGUUAGCCCACUGGUAGUUUUAGUUUUAUUUUAGUUUGUAAAAGGGCCUUUAUAUAAAGUCCAAGUUUGGAAGAGUGUGUCUUUCAAAUCUUGGCAACUUUUAUUGUUUGUUUCUUUAAUUUUAGCAUUACUUAGACUGGUGAGUGUGUCUUGCUAGCAUAAGCUACAAGCCUCACCUUAGGAGUAGAAUUUUAUCUUGUCUUUGCAUGUGUUUGAUUUUCACGUGUAGGUGUGACCUUUGUCACAUUAGAGUCUGAACGUAUUAGGGGUGUUAGAGUCCGUUUUCAUUGUUUGUUUCUUUUGAGUCUUGUACUUUGAUUUUGAACAAAAAUGUCUUGUUAUUCAUCUAGGAUGUCUAGUUCAUACAUUAAGGAUGAUUUGUGUACUAAAGCUAGAAAAAUUCCCUUCUUUGGUAGAGAUACAGAUGUCUUAACAUAUCUAGUUUGGGAAAAAGAAAUUAAUCAAAUGCAUCUUGUUCUUAUUAGGCAAAGUGAACUUGAGUCUUAUAGUACAAUUGUUCUUUCUAGAGAGUGUGAAUCUCGUGUUCUUAGUUUAUAUCUCUCUAGAUUAGAAAAGUAUGCACUAGAGUGGUGGGAUGAAAGGCAAUAUUGGGUUCAUCAAGG
RNAcentral lists this long non-coding RNA (3894 nucleotides) under Vigna radiata. Its description in RNAcentral is "long non-coding RNA (VRAD_LNC014068)". The record is from RNAcentral. Lineage: Eukaryota; Viridiplantae; Streptophyta; Magnoliopsida; Fabales; Fabaceae.